Formica exsecta is the source of this 207-nucleotide long non-coding RNA. RefSeq lists it as uncharacterized. The transcript has 3 exons. The record is from RefSeq and is a predicted model, not a curated record. NCBI's taxonomy places the organism in Eukaryota, Metazoa, Arthropoda, Insecta, Hymenoptera, Formicidae.
CUUCUGCUAAGUAAAUCUCUAAAGAGACUUACUUUUCAAGUGAUAGAAACGAGUAAUAUUGCGGUAUCAUUGCUGGACAGUCCCUGCACGUAGCCAGGAUGAUAUUUAAUCGUUCGUACUGGGAUGAUUUCGAACGGGAGUGGUUCCUCGUAUUUAAAAAAUAUUCAAUUGAUGACAAGAAAAACAUGAGUUUAUUUUACCUAUUUA